This 763-nucleotide long non-coding RNA is filed under the name Calidris pugnax (ruff). RNAcentral describes it as "lncRNA (ENSCPUG00000009240.1)". The record is from RNAcentral. Lineage: Eukaryota; Metazoa; Chordata; Aves; Charadriiformes; Scolopacidae.
GAACUUUCGAGCUCCGUACGUUCACCUAUCUUUGUCAGUUGAGUGGUGGAGACAAUAGCAGUGUUCUGUGGGCCUUUCACGUGGGUGUAAAUGACUACACUAAGGACAAAGUUCUGAAGAAUUAGUGUGGCGUAAAAGGGCUAGUCAACAGCCUGAAAACGGGCAGUUGAGGGAAAUUUCUGUCUGCAAUCAAUCUCCUCACUGCAGGAGGAGUCCUGGAUAUCCUUACAUGUGCAAUAAAGAUGGCUGAAUUCAGUGAGCACUGCCUGACCAGCAUAACAAUUCCUUAGUGAUUUAUGGCAGAUUGAGAGAGCAAGGAUUUAGGAUUACAUCUAGGAGAUCUGCGCGGCCAAGGAUAUGACUGUCUUGCAUUGAGAAUAAAAGACCUACUUGAAGCUUCCUCUCCUCCAGCCUCACCCAGGCAGCCCUGGCCGGGGCAGGGUGACCAGCUGUGACCCCCGGGAGGGCUGGCUGACCCACCGCUGCCAAGAGACCUCCCCAGGCCUGAACCCGCUGCCUCUCCCUCCACAGCGUGCCGGUUUGGGGCCAGCUCUUUGCUCAGCUUAUUUAAAAAUCUAGAGAAAAGAGUUCUGCCCCAUCAGCUUCAGAAAGAGAUGUUUAACAUGGUAGAGAACAAGCCGAGCCUGAGUUACCCAAGACAACUAAUUCCCUUAGCAGAAAGAGUGUCUUCUGUCAUCAAAAAGAGCCAUCUGGAAGAGCCUUGGCUCCCUGCCAAGAACAACCCCUGAACAACUGCUUGUCG